UUAAGAACUAGUACUUGGUGAUUUUUAUUAAAUAAUUCCUCGUGAGAACGAUACUCUACUUUCACUUUAUUACUUGUUGACCGUGUAUACUUGCACGUAUUCAUUGAUUGCGAAAUCGACCAACAAUUAGGAUUCCUUUAAUCGUGGCCCGCGAUUAUCUCCCUUAUCUCCUGUAAUUAUUAUUUUCUUAUUCAAACACAUUCAAACACAGCAGACCCAUUUUUGAUCUUUGUUCCUUUUUCUCUCUCUUUUUUCUUCAUCCUCUUUUUUCCUACUUUGAAUAUUAAUUCUUAAUAUUAGGCCAUUUUUGAUUAUGGACUCCUCUUCACUUCUUUCCACUUCAAAAUUAGUCGUCGUUGCUUCCGGAAUUAUCGAAUAGGCUUCUAAAUGCUCUGUUGAAACUGGAAUUUCUUCUUGCUGAGGUAUUAUUGGUGAGGCUUCUGCAAAUGACUUGCGGAACUGCUCAAAACAGUUAGAGUGACGGUAGCUUGUGUCACACAUGAAGGGUCGGCAACCCUUGUCGUGAGAUGAACACAUGAGAAUAAUUUCAUUAUGAGGAUGUUCCAUACAUACUAGGCAUCGAGCUCCCUCCCAUUCUUUGACAUUUUUCUCAUUCUCUUAAGGAUUUUUGGACAAUGAUAUCGUAGUGAUCGGCUAGAUCCACAUGGGAAAGGAGAUGCUCUUAUAUCAAUUUCUCAUCUCCUUUGGCAUCUUGAAUUGUCAAAGCAACAGCAGAACAAUUGAAACUACAAUACAUAAAUCCACAUAGGAAAUACCUAGACAUAAGACAGUACCAAAUACAUAUAUUAAGCCUGAGUACCAUAUACAUAAUGCAGAACUACUCCCAAUAAAACCAUUAUAUCAUUGCUCUGCCAACAUCCUGGUCCCUAAAUAAGAGAAAUUAGAUUAUGUGUUUUUUGUACGAGUACUCAUAUCAAGGUAACCAAACCGUCAUACCAAGGUAACCAAACCGUCAUACCAAGGUAACCAAUUUAUUUUGAAUAUGAUGCAGUUGGUAGGCAAACCUUCAUGCAGUGGGUAGCCAAACCUUCAUACCAAGGUAACCAAUUCAGUUUUAUUAAGUUACCAAUUUAUUUUGAAUGUGAUGCAGUUGGUAGCCAAACCUUCAUGCAGUUGGUUGCCAAACUUUCAGACCAAGGUAACCAAUUCAUACUGUAGGUGUGGAGGUACAUUGGUUACCUUGGUAUAAAUGUUUGGUUAUCUUGGUAUAAAAGUUUGGUUACCUUGGUACGAAGGUUUGGUUAUCAACAUUACAUUACACAUCACUCUCUUAUCUCUCUCUUUCCUAUGCAGUGUUUUUUAUUUUCAUUUGGACAUGAAAUUGGAAUUGAAAUUUCUGGACAUGAAGAAAUUGUGAAAAAUCAAAUAUCCACCUCCUUUCUCCAUCCCAUCGACCAUUUUGUGGUUGACUCUCGCUCUGUCUCACCUGUGAAGGGGGAGGAAGAAGAUGACUUUGCCAAACCUUCAGACCAAGGUAACCAAUUCAGUUUUAUUAAGUUACCAAUUUAGUUUGAAUGUGAUGCAGUUGGUAGCCAACCAUUCAUACAAAGGUAACCAUUUUAAUUUUUGUGGGUAACCAAAUAGUCAUAACAAAAUUUUAGAACAGUAAGAGUUACAUCUAUUUAUUUUUAAACUUUUUGUAGGGCGAAUCUUUUUCUUCUUCUUCUCAUUGGCGUUUUGGACAACGGAGAUUCGCGGCGGAAUAGCGGAGGAGAGGGCUACUGUGAGGGAGAUGAAGAUUUGAAUUUGAAUUACUAUUUUACAUUUGAAUUUGUUUUUGUUAUUAGAUCCCAGAUAUUUGAAUUUGAAUUAUUA
This 1836-nucleotide long non-coding RNA is filed under the name Panax ginseng (ginseng). Its description in RNAcentral is "long non-coding RNA (PGIN_LNC004285)". The record is from RNAcentral. Lineage: Eukaryota; Viridiplantae; Streptophyta; Magnoliopsida; Apiales; Araliaceae.